GAUAACCAAGAAUAACUCUUGGGUCUAAAGUUGGAUUAACAAGUCUGACUUCACCACCACCUGGUGCCCAUGUGUCAUAUGCACCGCCAAUAAAACACCAGUUUACUGACCAUGCUAGAGCACCUACACCUAGAACAAUCAAAUGAUAACCAAGAAUGUUUGUCAUUUGAUUUUUAUCUCUCCA
RNAcentral lists this antisense RNA (184 nucleotides) under marine metagenome. RNAcentral describes it as "Antisense RNA which regulates isiA expression". It matches the Rfam family "Antisense RNA which regulates isiA expression". The record is from Rfam by way of RNAcentral.